CCUACGGGAGGCAGCAGUGGGGGAUAUUGUACAAUGGGGGGAACCCUGAUGCAGCGACGCCGCGUGGGUGAAGAAGCGCCUCGGCGCGUAAAGCCCUGUCAGCAGGGAAGAAAAUGACGGUACCUGAAGAAGAAGCCCCGGCUAACUACGUGCCAGCAGCCGCGGUAAUACGUAGGGGGCAAGCGUUAUCCGGAUUUACUGGGGGUAAAGGGGGCGCAGACGGCGAUGCAAGCCAGGAGGGAAAGCCCGGGGCCCAACCCCGGGACUGCUCUUGGAACUGCGUGGCUGGAGUGCAGGAGGGGCAGGCGGAAUUCCUGGUGUAGCGGUGAAAUGCGUAGAUAUCAGGAGGAACACCGGUGGCGAAGGCGGCCUGCUGGACUGCAACUGACGUUGAGGCCCGAAAGCGUGGGGAGCGAACAGGAUUAGAUACCCGGGUAGUC
Molecule: ribosomal RNA, 440 nt
Filed under: uncultured bacterium
Lineage: Bacteria
Description: partial 16S ribosomal RNA
Rfam family: Bacterial small subunit ribosomal RNA
Source: RNAcentral